This 395-nucleotide ribosomal RNA is filed under the name Phylloscopus cebuensis (lemon-throated leaf-warbler). Its description in RNAcentral is "partial 12S ribosomal RNA". It matches the Rfam family "Bacterial small subunit ribosomal RNA", at positions 794 to 1384 of the family's 1533-position model. Lineage: Eukaryota; Metazoa; Chordata; Aves; Passeriformes; Phylloscopidae. The record is from RNAcentral.
GCCUGGCCCUAAAUCUCGAUGCUCGAUCUUACCGGAGCAUCCGCCCGAGAACUACGAGCACCAACGCUUAAAACUCUAAGGACUUGGCGGUGCCCCAAACCCACCUAGAGGAGCCUGUUCUGUAAUCGAUGAUCCACGAUAUACCUGACCAUUCCUUGCCAAGUCAGCCUAUAUACCGCCGUCGCCAGCCCACCCAGCAUGAAGGACCAACAGUGGACGCAAUAGCCUACCCCGCUAGUAAGACAGGUCAAGGUAUAGCCUAUGGAAUGGAGGCAAUGGGCUACAUUUUCUAAGUUAGAACAUAACGGCAAAGGGAUAUGAAACUGUCCCUGGAAGGAGGAUUUAGCAGUAAAGUGGGACAAUCGAGCCCUCUUUAAGCCGGCCCUGGAGCACGU